AUUGAACGCUGGCGGCAGGCCUAACACAUGCAAGUCGAACGGUAACAGGAAGAAGCUUGCUUCUUUGCUGACGAGUGGCGGACGGGUGAGUAAUGUCUGGGAAACUGCCUGAUGGAGGGGGAUAACUAUUGGAAACGGUAGCUAAUACCGCAUAACGUCGCAAGACCAAAAAGGGGGACCUUCGGGCCUCUUGCCAUCGGAUGUGCCCAGAUGGGAUUAGCUAGUAGGUGGGGUAACGGCUCACCUAGGCGACGAUCCCUAGCUGGUCUGAGAGGAUGACCAGCCACACUGGAACUGAGACACGGUCCAGACUCCUACGGGAGGCAGCAGUGGGGAAUAUUGCACAAUGGGCGCAAGCCUGAUGCAGCCAUGCCGCGUGUAUGAAGAAGGCCUUCGGGUUGUAAAGUACUUUCAGCGGGGAGGAAGGGAGUAAAGUUAAUACCUUUGCUCAUUGACGUUACCCGCAGAAGAAGCACCGGCUAACUCCGUG
This 490-nucleotide ribosomal RNA is filed under the name uncultured bacterium. RNAcentral's name for it is "partial 16S ribosomal RNA". It matches the Rfam family "Bacterial small subunit ribosomal RNA", at positions 30 to 507 of the family's 1533-position model. The record is from RNAcentral.